RNAcentral lists this unclassified non-coding RNA (336 nucleotides) under soil metagenome. RNAcentral describes it as "partial contains 5.8S ribosomal RNA, internal transcribed spacer 2, and large subunit ribosomal RNA". The stretch from base 1 to 120 matches the Rfam family "5.8S ribosomal RNA", at positions 35 to 154 of the family's 154-position model. The record is from RNAcentral.
GAUGAAGAACGUAGCGAAAUGCGAUAAGUAGUGUGAAUUGCAGAAUUCAGUGAAUCAUCGAAUCUUUGAACGCACAUUGCGCCCCUUGGUAUUCCAUGGGGCAUGCCUGUUCGAGCGUCAUUUGUACCUUCAAGCCUUGCUUGGUGUUGGGUGUUUGUCUCGCCUCUGCGCGCAGACUCGCCUCAAAACAAUUGGCAGCCGGCGUAUUGAUUUCGGAGCGCAGUACAUCUCGCGCUUUGCACUCACAACGGCGGCGUCCAAAAGUACAUUUUUACACUCUUGACCUCGGAUCAGGUAGGGAUACCCGCUGAACUUAAGCAUAUCAAAAGCGGAGGA